Small nuclear RNA from Hypanus sabinus (Atlantic stingray), 105 nucleotides. The record is from RefSeq and is a predicted model, not a curated record. Lineage: Eukaryota; Metazoa; Chordata; Chondrichthyes; Myliobatiformes; Dasyatidae.
UGCUACUCCAGUAACACUGUUACUAACACUGCAAUGAUACAGGGAAGAUUGGUAUGGCCUCAGCGCAACAAUGACAUGCAAAUUUGUGAAGCAUUCCACAUAUUU